UACGGAGGGUGCAAGCGUUAAUCGGAAUCACUGGGCGUAAAGCGCAUGUAGGUGGAUAGAUAAGUCAGAUGUGAAAGCCCCGGGCUCAACCUGGGAAAGUCAUCUGAUACUGUUUGUCUAGAGUACAGUAGAGGGUAGUGGAAUUUCAGGUGUAGCGGUGAAAUGCGUAGAUAUCUGAAGGAACAUCGGUGGCGAAGGCGGCUGCCUGGACUGAUACUGACACUGAGGAACGAAAGCAUGGGUAGCGAAGAGG
Molecule: ribosomal RNA, 253 nt
Filed under: uncultured bacterium
Lineage: Bacteria
Description: partial 16S ribosomal RNA
Rfam family: Bacterial small subunit ribosomal RNA
Source: RNAcentral